Molecule: ribosomal RNA, 253 nt
Filed under: uncultured bacterium
Lineage: Bacteria
Description: partial 16S ribosomal RNA
Rfam family: Bacterial small subunit ribosomal RNA
Source: RNAcentral
UACGUAGGGUGCAAGCGUUGUUCGGAAUUACUGGGCGUAAAGGGCUCGUAGGCGGUUUGGCGAGUCAGUAGUGAAAGGCCUGGGCUCAACCGAGGAACUGCUUUUGAUACUGCCAAGCUAGAGUGCGGAAGGGGCAACUGGAAUUCCCAGUGUAGCGGUGAAAUGCGUAGAUAUUGGGAAGAACACCUGAGGCGAAGGCGGGUUGCUGGGCCGACACUGACGCUCAUGCACGAAAGCGUGGGGAGCAAACAGG